CGGUCAGUCGCUUAACAGUCAAAGCACCGGGCUCAUAACCCGAGAGAUGCGGGUGCAACUCCCGCCAGACCGA
Molecule: transfer RNA, 73 nt
Filed under: Prosthecobacter dejongeii
Lineage: Bacteria; Pseudomonadati; Verrucomicrobiota; Verrucomicrobiia; Verrucomicrobiales; Verrucomicrobiaceae
Rfam family: tRNA
About the family: Transfer RNA (tRNA) molecules are approximately 80 nucleotides in length.
Source: Rfam by way of RNAcentral